UACAGAAGGCCCGAGCGUUAAUCGGAAUCACUGGGCUUAAAGGGUGCGCCGGCGGAUCGAAAGGCAUCUUGUGAAAUCCCACGGCUCAACCGUGGAACUGCUGGGUGAACCAUCGAUCUUGAGGCGGGUAGGGUUCAGUGGGACUAUGGGUGGAGCGGCGAAAUGCGUAGAUAUUCAUGGGAACGCCAAUGGCGAAGGCAGCUGACAGGGCCCGUCCUGCUGCUCAGGCACGAAAGCGUGGGUAGCAAACAGG
RNAcentral lists this ribosomal RNA (253 nucleotides) under uncultured bacterium. RNAcentral describes it as "partial 16S ribosomal RNA". It matches the Rfam family "Bacterial small subunit ribosomal RNA", at positions 524 to 776 of the family's 1533-position model. The record is from RNAcentral.